Molecule: ribosomal RNA, 446 nt
Filed under: uncultured bacterium
Lineage: Bacteria
Description: bacterial SSU rRNA
Rfam family: Bacterial small subunit ribosomal RNA
Source: RNAcentral
ACCAGACUCCUACGGGAGGCAGCAGUGGGGGAUAUUGCACAAUGGGGGGAACCCUGAUGCAGCGACGCCGCGUGGGCGAAGGAGUAUUUCGGUAUGUAAAGCCCCAUCGGCAGGGAAGAAAUUGGACGGUACCUGACUAAGAAGCCCCGGCUAACUACGUGCCAGCAGCCGCGGUAAUACGUAGGGGGCAAGCGUUAUCCGGAUUCACUGGGUGUAAAGGGAGCGUAGACGGCCAGGCAAGCCUGGAGUGAAAGCCCGGGGCCCAACCCCCGGACUGCUCUGGAAACUGUGUAACUUGAGUGCAGGAGAGGUAAGCGGAAUUCCUAGUGUAGCGGUGAAAUGCGUAGAUAUUAGGAGGAACACCAGUGGCGAAGGCGGCUUACUGGACUGUAACUGACGUUGAGGCUCGAAAGCGUGGGGAGCAAACAGGAUUAGAUACCCCCGUA